Molecule: non-coding RNA, 217 nt
Organism: Pelobates cultripes (western spadefoot toad)
Lineage: Eukaryota; Metazoa; Chordata; Amphibia; Anura; Pelobatidae
Source: the annotation of a GenBank genome assembly
GUUAGUUACUUAUUGCAGUUCUUGUCACAUACAUAUUUUCAAAUCAUUUCAAGGUGCUAAAUUAUCAAUCCUGUAAAGAUGGCAAAUAAUUUCUGCAUCUCACAAUAAAUAAAUAUUAAUCUACAGUAUCUGUAACUUCUCCAAGAAUCGAUGAAUGUAGGGUGAAACAAAAAAACAAACAAACAAGCAGAAGUAGGUUUCCUGUCCUGAACUUGCC